UACGGAGGAUGCGAGCGUUAUCCGGAUUUAUUGGGUUUAAAGGGAGCGCAGACGGGUCGUUAAGUCAGCUGUGAAAGUUUGGGGCUCAACCUUAAAAUUGCAGUUGAUACUGGCGUCCUUGAGUGCGGUUGAGGUGUGCGGAAUUCGUGGUGUAGCGGUGAAAUGCUUAGAUAUCACGAAGAACUCCGAUUGCGAAGGCAGCACACUAAGCCGUAAUUGACGUUCAUGCUCGAAAGUGUGGGUAUCAAACAGG
RNAcentral lists this ribosomal RNA (253 nucleotides) under Phocaeicola plebeius DSM 17135. RNAcentral's name for it is "partial 16S ribosomal RNA". It matches the Rfam family "Bacterial small subunit ribosomal RNA", at positions 524 to 776 of the family's 1533-position model. The record is from RNAcentral. Lineage: Bacteria; Pseudomonadati; Bacteroidota; Bacteroidia; Bacteroidales; Bacteroidaceae.